Hevea brasiliensis (rubber tree) is the source of this 424-nucleotide long non-coding RNA. RefSeq lists it as uncharacterized. NCBI's taxonomy places the organism in Eukaryota, Viridiplantae, Streptophyta, Magnoliopsida, Malpighiales, Euphorbiaceae. The transcript has 2 exons. The record is from RefSeq and is a predicted model, not a curated record.
UCUGCCGUCCUCACUCUCUCUCAAUUCUCUCUCAAAAUACUCCAUUAAAGCACAUACCAAAAGCUUGAAACUUAGGUUUUUCACCAUGAUUUCUUUGGGAAAUCAUUAGAAAAUCCUAAAUGGAAGCUUGAAUUGCAUGAAGCACUCAAGAAAACACAAGAAAUUGAAGGAAAAGUGAAGUUUAAAGCUUGAAAAAAUUCUACUCAUAAGGUACAGGAGACCACCAGCAGCCGCAGUAGAGCUUAUACAGGGCUUUUGGUAGAGCUCAGACUGUUAUUUUGAUAGGGCUCAUGUAUAGCUAAAUUUUGCAUUUUGGGUAUUAUAUGUAAUUAAAUGAUGUAAAUCAUUUUGUGAUUGUAAAUAGAAUUGUAAAUAUUGUAUUUGAUUUUAUAUGAAUGAAAUGAAGUAUUUUAUUUACUUAAAA